UUUGACUUAUAUAAAUAUGAAAUUUUAUUUUUUAUAAUUAUAAAAAAUAUUAAAUUCAAGUGUUUCAACUUUCUAAUAUUUUUCCACACCAAUAAUCAUCCAGCUUCUGAUGCGGGUCCGAUAACCAGGAAAAUUAAAUCAAACAAAACUCAUUACUCCAUAAAACUUCUACAAAGUCGACGGUCAAUAAUCCAUCGAUCAAACACCUUCACCUACUUUCUAUACGCUACUUCAGCACCACUAACAACAACAACUGCAACUUGCGACAGAAGGAGGAAAGGAUGGAUUUUUAGAAGGAAGGAACGACGCCGAAUCCGUAGAUACUACUUCGAUCAACUUCAACUUCAAUAUCGGAUCGUUUCGCGAAUCUUCCUUUGAUUCUCGGUCUCGUCUCUGCAUAAGCUUUUCGCGAUGCGUAUCUGAUUGUCUUCUCGAACUUUCGGUUCUUCCUUUUCUCUCUGUACCUUAACACCCUUGCUUCCCUGUCCACUGCUGUUUGCUGAACCGUUGCAUUUGUAGAUUCCAUCCCGUUACUCACUGUUUUACAGUACGCAUUUGAUAUGUCCGUCAUGUUCCCGCCAUCUGGCACUACUCCAACGUCCACAGAUGAGGAUGAUACCUGAGGUCGCGACCACACGAUCAGAGCUCAAUUUCCUUAAUACCAGAUUAUUACUCGCUAUUUUUAAUUAAAUGAUUAAAGAAAUUAAGCUAAUAGUUUACUCAACAUAAAAUUGAGAUUGUAAAACUUACACUGUUGCUCAGACACUGUGUGUCAUAGCCGUAGGCAAAAGGCUUGGAUCCGGUGAAGUCCAGCUCAAAGCAGUGAUCGUUCACUAAUGGAACUUGAACGGUCUUGCUUUGCACGGGUACUACACCAUCCGUGCCCGAGCUGUUCUGUUCCUGUGCUUCGAGUUUCGGAUCCACAGUGACAGGACCGCAACCCGGAUCCAUAUACGGGUCCAUGUCCGAGAAGACAUACUGACCUGUAUUCAGAUCUGGACUCUCCAUUAGCUUCGGGUUGGGAGGAUUUGGAAGCAGCCACGAAGCUGCCUCUGCUUCCUCCCUGCUUACAUCGACGUCUCCAUCCACGUCGGAGAAGUAACGGUCAUCAAGGAAGUUUACAGCGUUUGGCUUAACAGAACCGACCGACUCGUAGAACGGCGUCACAGGAACUCGCUCGUGUCGGCGAGCCAGUGGAUUGGCGGAGUGAAUAUCUCGGUCGCACGUGACGCAGAGGGCUGCAGCAUCGGCCUUGCAGGUGACAUGAGCCGGAGCUUGCUCGCACACCUCACAAACCCACACGCGCGCGUGGCGCGAGGCAAGCUUGUUGGCAGCGUGAACCUUUGAGUCACAGUUUACGCAAAGAAAAGCGGAGUCAGCACGGCAGAAAAGAGUUGCCGUUGCCGAUUUACAUGAAUCACAGAGCUUGGAAGCCAUUCCACGACUCACAGUUAGCCAAGUUCUCUCUCUCUCUGUGGGGAUGAAACAAUAAACACAGGCACAGUUUUCUUUUGUGUAUUGUUUGGACUUUGGCUAAUUGUUGUGUAGCGUUUACUGUGGCGUAAGGAGUGACUAUGAUUCUAUCUGGUGGGGCCAGGGAGAUCUGGAAAGCAGCAAAUAGAAGAGAGACACGUGGACGUAGCUUAGCCAAAUAAUAGAAGACAUUUUGUCAAAAUAAGAGAAGUGAUGUCAAUUUGGACAUGGAGCCCACGUGAGAAGAGGUUGAGAGUUGAAGGGUCAGGGCUUUUCUGGCUCUUCGAUUUAUAGUUGGGUAUGAAAAGUAAUAGGAAAUUGGCUGCAAGGAUUAAUAAUGUGAGAGGGACCCACUUGGUGGCCAGUUGGUCUUCGAGAUGGAUCUGUAGAGACAGAAGUAGAUAGGGACUACCACCCCUCUUCCUAAUCCUAGAUGGACAAGGGUCCAAUUCAAAUUUGCAACGAAAUGCCUUCUUUUCGGUCACUACUUGCAAAUUGUAGCUCAAUUACUGUUGUAAAUAGAUUCCGCCAUUGAUG
Molecule: unclassified non-coding RNA, 2010 nt
Filed under: Hevea brasiliensis (rubber tree)
Lineage: Eukaryota; Viridiplantae; Streptophyta; Magnoliopsida; Malpighiales; Euphorbiaceae
Source: RNAcentral